AUAUAUAUAUAUAUAUAUAUAUAUAUAUAGAGAGAGAGAGAGAGAGAGAGAGAGAGAGAGAGAGAUGGAGUUUCACACUUGUUGCCCAGGCUAGAGUGCAAUGGCACGAUCUUGACUCACUGCAACCUCUGCCCCUCCAGUUCAAGCGAUUCUCCUGCCUCAGCCUCCUGAGUAGCUGGAAUUAAAGGCACUCACCACCAUGCCUUGCUAAUUUUUGUAUUUUUAGUAGAGACAGGGUUUCGCUAUGUUGACCAGGCUGGUCUCGAACACCUGACCUCAGGUGAUCCAUCCACCUCGGCCUCCCAAUAUGCUGGGAUUACAGGUGUGAGCCACUGCGCCCAGCCUGCAGAAAUAUAUUUUAGUACUAACUCUCUGGUGUUUUCUAAAGCUAUAGAUUUUGAAAAAAUGUGUUUUUCUAAAUGUAUUACAUUUGCAGAGUUUUUCUCCCAUACAGAUUCACUGAUGUUGAAAAAACUUUGAGCAACUGCUUCAGGGUUUUUCUCUAGUACAAAAUGUACAUGAUAAGCUUUAUGAUA
RNAcentral lists this long non-coding RNA (536 nucleotides) under Homo sapiens (human). RNAcentral's name for it is "HSALNT0396868". Lineage: Eukaryota; Metazoa; Chordata; Mammalia; Primates; Hominidae. The record is from RNAcentral.